This 2064-nucleotide long non-coding RNA is filed under the name Brachypodium distachyon (stiff brome). Its description in RNAcentral is "long non-coding RNA (BDIS_LNC000209)". The record is from RNAcentral. Lineage: Eukaryota; Viridiplantae; Streptophyta; Magnoliopsida; Poales; Poaceae.
AAAGGUACAAGUUGAUCUACGGCGUACAAGUACACAUGCAUGCAUAUAUCGAUCGUCCGAUGGAUGGACCGAUAUAUACUACAGCUAGCUGCUAAUUCUCAUUUAGCUCCCGGGGGCGAAGUUGGUAGCAAAGGCCCAUGCAUUGUUGUUGACUGGGUCGGCGACGUGGUCGAAGAGGUUCUCGACGGGUCCCUUGCCCGUGACGAUGGCCUGCACGAAGAAUCCAAACAUGGAGAACAUGGCGAGGCGGCCGUUCUUGAGCUCCUUGACCUUGAGCUCAGCGGCGGUGUCUGGGUCGUCGGCGAGACCGAGGGGGUCAAAGGCGCCACCGGGGUAGAUCUUGUCGAGCCCCUCACCGAGAGGGCCUCCACCAACACGGUAACCCUCGAUGAAGCCCAUGAGCACAACUUGGCAUGCCCAAAUGGCGAGGAUGCUCUGCGCGUGCACGAGGUUAGGGUUGCCCAGGUAGUCCAGGCCGCCCUCGGAGAAGAUCUGCGAGCCGGCCUUGAACCACACCGCCUCGCCGAACUUGACACCAUUCUUGGAGAGGAUCUCCGGGAACACGCACCCGAGCGCGCCAAGCAUCGCCCAACGAGAGUGGAUCACCUCGAGCUCCCUGUUCUUGGCGAACGUCUCUGGGUCAGCUGACAACCCCGCGGUGUCCCAGCCGUAGUCACCGGGGAACUCGCCGGUCAGGUACGACGGCGUCUGCUCGGAGAACGGGCCCAGGUACUUGGGACGGUCAGGGCCGUACCUAUAUAUACACGCACGGUCAUUUCAUCACCAUUAAUUUCAUUCAGGCGAAGCCAAUUGCGCGGUACUUGAUGCAUGUAGUACAUAGAAAUGUAGCUUUGGACGAAGAAAAAGAUAUACUUACCAGAUGCUCUGGGGUGCGCUCUUGACAGUCCGGCGCAUGGUGAUGCGGCCGCCGAAGUCGCCGACGCUGCGGACGAGGUCAUCGCGGCGUGGGGCGGUGCCGAGGAAGCUGGUGGUCUGGUGCAGCGCCGACGCGGCCAUUUCGAUCCCAAUUCAAGUGGUAAGGUCAGUGAGAGAUGAGCUGGUGGCUGGUGUUGUUUGAGUGAGGAUGCCCGGCUCGGGGAGGUGGAUCUUUAUACGGCGCCUGAGAGGCGCGGGGCGAAGCUGGUGGACGCGCGGCGAGACACGUCCCCGCGACCCAAUUGGCUGCUGCUUCGCCUCUGGAUAUGGCGCGGUAUCCAUCCCCCUCCACGCGACCACUCGUCGGCCGCCACCUGGAGCCCAAGAUCGCAUCGCCCACAUCCUACACUAUCCCGACCAUAUAUGCACAUAUGUGCUCUGUUUCAUUUUAUCACGGUACAAUACUUGCCUAGAUCCGGUGAAACCGUGACAAAAUCAAACGACACCACCCACCAGUUUUCAUCUCACUGAUCGACCUGGUGAUGCGAGGUGAUUGAACCUCUCGCAGAUGUUCUUACCUUGCUCCGCUGGAUAAAGAUAUUACGGUUUUGUUAGUUCUAGGUUGUCAGAUUUUUAGUUAGAGAUAAGUUGAUUUUUCGGCCGUUGGAUAUGAUUUGUGCUUUAAAAUUUGCAAAGGAUGAUGAAAAAAAAAAGAUUUUUUACACUGGAUCAUACUGCUCCUCUUAUCCCAUCCGUCCGCUGUGCCUCGAGAUUCGUGCCCGACACCACAUAGUGAAAACUGCCUUCUGACUGCUGCUGAGUCCCACUCCUCAUUUUCCUUCUUCCCCAACCUCAAGCGCCUCUCUCUCUCUCUGCCCCUCUCUCUCUCUCCCCCCCAUGGUGCUGCUCCAUGUUAGGCGUCUCUCUCUCCUCUCCAUGGUGCUGCAUUGCCGCUCCAUGUUUUCACGCCUCUCUCUCCUCUCCAUGGUGAUGCUCUCUCUCUCUCUCUCUCCUAUCCAUGGCGCUGCACCAGUGGCUGCGGCGGCGACGGCACGGCCAUGUGUUGGAGGCGGCAGCAGGCGGUGCGCAUGUGGUGGCGAUAGCGGCCAACAUCGUGCCAUGUGCUUUUGGCGAGCCAGUUUUUUUCUUCGGCACACUAUAGAAGAGGCCAAGAGGGAGUGGUGUGCU